UGUAAAAUUUACGAUCAUCUUUUGCAUUAAUAAUAAAAUUUUAUCGGAGUAAUUUUUUUUUUAAUAGGCGAACCUUAAACUAGUCUCUUCUUUACUGUCGGCUGGUUAAAAUGAAACGCAUCGUGAUUCAUAAUCCUAACACAUAGAGGAAGCAACUGUACAGUUUUAGUAUUCAAAUAAUACUCGGAAAAUAUUUUACUCAUAUGAUUUCAGCGAUUUCACGUAUCAUAAUAGUAUACUCUUCACUCGCUUGGAAAAGGGACUCAUUACCUGUGCCGUAACCGACAUGCAUUCAUAGAAAUGUUCAUUAAAAUAAUAAAAACCUGAACUUCUUAUCAGAACAAAUGUGGUACCAAUUUCGCAACGCCCGCGCCUAUAAAAAUAAUGAUCAGAUAUCGGGCGACUAUCGAUCAGAGGGACAUUUAAAUUUUACGCGCCACAGCAAACAAUGAGAAGCCACAGAUCUGCGAUGUUAACGACUAUAAAAAAUGUUUUGUCGAAAGCAAGACUUAAAUGAUGAUAUCUCGCGCCGGCGCAACACAUUAUUUGCGUUCUAUAUACAAGAUAUUUAUUUUUCUCAGCUUGUUCUCUAUUUUCAAUUCUUUUCUGUUAAAUUCAUUGUUAGAGAUAUGCAGUAUAAAGUCAAAAUUUUAUCUGAAUCUAUUAUUUUAGCCUCUCCUCACCCUUCUUCGACAAAUGCAUACGAUAAAUUGAUUCAUUUUUUUAAAUCUAAUCUCCUAAAAGUUGUAAUGUAUCUUGAUUAAAACUUAAUUAGAAAAUUAUUCGGAAGCAA
This is a long non-coding RNA of Wasmannia auropunctata (little fire ant), 793 nucleotides long. RefSeq lists it as uncharacterized. The transcript has 2 exons. The record is from RefSeq and is a predicted model, not a curated record. NCBI's taxonomy places the organism in Eukaryota, Metazoa, Arthropoda, Insecta, Hymenoptera, Formicidae.